UACAGAGGACUCAAGCGUUGUUCGGAUUCAUUGGGCGUAAAGGGUGCGUAGGCGGCGCGGUAAGUCGGGUGUGAAAUCUCGGGGCUUAACUCCGAAACUGCAUUCGAUACUGCCGUGCUUGAGGACUGGAGAGGAGACUGGAAUUUACGGUGUAGCGGUGAAAUGCGUAGAUAUCGUAAGGAAGACCAGUGGCGAAGGCGGGUCUCUGGACAGUUCCUGACGCUGAGGCACGAAGGCUAGGGGAGCAAACGGG
Molecule: ribosomal RNA, 253 nt
Filed under: uncultured bacterium
Lineage: Bacteria
Description: partial 16S ribosomal RNA
Rfam family: Bacterial small subunit ribosomal RNA
Source: RNAcentral